RNAcentral lists this ribosomal RNA (459 nucleotides) under uncultured bacterium. RNAcentral describes it as "partial 16S ribosomal RNA". It matches the Rfam family "Bacterial small subunit ribosomal RNA", at positions 338 to 795 of the family's 1533-position model. The record is from RNAcentral.
CCUACGGGAGGCAGCAGUGAGGAAUAUUGGUCAAUGGGCGAGAGCCUGAACCAGCCAAGUCGCGUGAGGGAAGACGGUCCUAUGGAUUGUAAACCUCUUUUGCCGGGGAGCAAAAAGCGGUACGCGUACCGCAUCGAGAGUACCCGGAGAAAAAGCAUCGGCUAACUCCGUGCCAGCAGCCGCGGUAAUACGGAGGAUGCGAGCGUUAUCCGGAUUUAUUGGGUUUAAAGGGUGCGCAGGCGGCGAGUUAAGUCAGCGGUAAAAUUUCGGGGCUCAACCCCGACAAGCCGUUGAAACUGGCGUGCUAGAGUGGGCGAGAAGUAUGCGGAAGGCGUGGUGUAGCGGUGAAAUGCAUAGAUAUCACGCAGAACUCCGAUUGCGAAGGCAGCAUACCGGCGCCCAACUGACGCUCAGGCACGAAAGCGUGGGUAUCGAACAGGAUUAGAUACCCGGGUAGUC